This 139-nucleotide ribosomal RNA is filed under the name uncultured eukaryote. Its description in RNAcentral is "partial 18S ribosomal RNA". It matches the Rfam family "Eukaryotic small subunit ribosomal RNA", at positions 1299 to 1458 of the family's 1831-position model. The record is from RNAcentral.
UGGUGGAGUGAUUUGUCUGGUUAAUUCCGUUAACGAACGAGACCUCAGCCUGCUAAAUAGUAUGCUUUUUCUCACGAAAGAGUAGGACUUCUUAGAGGGACAUUUCGGUUUUACCGGAAGGAAGUUUGAGGCAAUAACA